This 497-nucleotide ribosomal RNA is filed under the name uncultured bacterium. Its description in RNAcentral is "partial 16S ribosomal RNA". It matches the Rfam family "Bacterial small subunit ribosomal RNA", at positions 28 to 507 of the family's 1533-position model. The record is from RNAcentral.
GAUGAACGCUGGCGGCGUGCCUAAUACAUGCAAGUCGAGCGAACGGACGAGCAUCUUGCUUCUCUGAUGUUAGCGGCGGACGGGUGAGUAACACGUGGAUAACCUACAUAUAAGACUAGGAUAACUUCGGGAAACCGGAGCUCACACCCGAUGAUAUUGUGAACCGCAGGGUUCAAAAGUGAAAGACGGUCUUGAGGUCCCGUAUAGAUGGAUCCGCGCUGCAUUAGCUAGUUGGUAAGGUAACGGCUUACCAAGGCGACGAUGCAUAGCCGACCUGAGAGGGUGAUCGGCCACACUGGAACUGAGACACGGUCCAGACUCCUACGGGAGGCAGCAGUAGGGAAUCUUCCGCAAUGGGCGAAAGCCUGACGGAGCAACGCCGCGUGAGUGAUGAAGGUCUUCGGAUCGUAAACCUCUGUUAUUAGGGAAGAACAUAUGUGUAAGUAUCUGUGCACGUCUUGACGGUACCUAAUCAGAAAGCCCCGGCUAACUACGUG